Molecule: ribosomal RNA, 253 nt
Filed under: uncultured bacterium
Lineage: Bacteria
Description: partial 16S ribosomal RNA
Rfam family: Bacterial small subunit ribosomal RNA
Source: RNAcentral
UACGGGGGGGGCAAGCGUUGUUCGGAAUUACUGGGCGUAAAGCGCGGGUAGGCGGCUUUGUAAGUUAGAGGUGAAAGCCCAGGGCUCAACCCUGGAAUUGCCUUUAAGACUGCAUCGCUUGAACAUCGGAGAGGUAAGUGGAAUUCCGAGUGUAGAGGUGAAAUUCGUAGAUAUUCGGAAGAACACCAGUGGCGAAGGCGACUUACUGGACGAUUGUUGACGCUGAGGUGCGAAAGCGUGGGGAGCAAACAGG